This 506-nucleotide ribosomal RNA is filed under the name uncultured bacterium. RNAcentral describes it as "bacterial SSU rRNA". It matches the Rfam family "Bacterial small subunit ribosomal RNA", at positions 19 to 518 of the family's 1533-position model. The record is from RNAcentral.
CUGGCUCAGGAUGAACGCUAGCGGCAGGCUUAACACAUGCAAGUCGAGGGGCAUCGGGAGUAGCAAUACUUGCCGGCGACCGGCGCAAGGGUGCGUAACGCGUGAGCAACAUGCCCGUAUCAGGGGGAUAAUCCAUGGAAACGUGGUCUAAUACCCCAUAGUAAUUAUGUAAGGCAUCUUAUAUAAUUUAAAGCUUUGGUGGAUACGGAUUGGCUCGCGUGACAUUAGCUGGAUGGUAAGGUAACGGCUUACCAUGGCUACGAUGUCUAGGGGUUCUGAGAGGAAGGUCCCCCCACACUGGAACUGAGACACGGUCCAGACUCCUACGGGAGGCAGCAGUGAGGAAUGUUGGACAAUGGAUGGAAAUCUGAUCCAGCCAUGCCGCGUGCAAGGAAGACGGCCCUAUGGGUUGUAAACUGCUUUUGUAUGGGAGCAAUAAGGGCUACGUGUAGUCCGAUGAGAGUACCAUACGAAUAAGCACCGGCUAACUCCGUGCCAGCAGCCGC